GUGGAUUAGAUACCCUAGUAGUCCACGCCGUAAACGAUGAGCACUAGGUAUUGGGGUCGCAAGACUUCGGUGCCGUAGUUAACGCAUUAAGUGCUCCGCCUGGGGAGUACGCACGCAAGUGUGAAACUCAAAGGAAUUGACGGGGACCCGCACAAGCAGCGGAGCAUGUGGUUUAAUUCGAAGCAACGCGAAGAACCUUACCAGGACUUGACAUCCCGAUGACCGGUCCUUAACCGGACCUUCUCUUCGGAGCAUCGGUGACAGGUGGUGCACGGCCGUCGACAACU
Molecule: ribosomal RNA, 287 nt
Filed under: uncultured bacterium
Lineage: Bacteria
Description: partial 16S ribosomal RNA
Rfam family: Bacterial small subunit ribosomal RNA
Source: RNAcentral